AGUGAACGCUGGCGGUAGGCCUAACACAUGCAAGUCGAACGGCAGCACAGUAAGAGCUUGCUCUUACGGGUGGCGAGUGGCGGACGGGUGAGGAAUACAUCGGAAUCUACUUUUUCGUGGGGGAUAACGUAGGGAAACUUACGCUAAUACCGCAUACGACCUACGGGUGAAAGCAGGGGAUCUUCGGACCUUGCGCGAUUGAAUGAGCCGAUGUCGGAUUAGCUAGUUGGCGGGGUAAAGGCCCACCAAGGCGACGAUCCGUAGCUGGUCUGAGAGGAUGAUCAGCCACACUGGAACUGAGACACCGUCCAGACUCCUACGGGAGGCAGCAGUGGGGAAUCUUGGACAAUGGGCGCAAGCCUGAUCCAGCCAUACCGCGUGGGUGAAGAAGGCCUUCGGGUUGUAAAGCCCUUUUGUUGGGAAAGAAAAGCAGCAGGUUAAUACCCCGCUGUUCUGACGGUACCCAAAGAAUAAGCACCGGCUAACUUCGUG
This 492-nucleotide ribosomal RNA is filed under the name uncultured bacterium. RNAcentral describes it as "partial 16S ribosomal RNA". It matches the Rfam family "Bacterial small subunit ribosomal RNA", at positions 29 to 507 of the family's 1533-position model. The record is from RNAcentral.